GAUGAACGCUGGCGGCGUGCCUAAUACAUGCAAGUCGAGCGAACGGACGAGAAGCUUGCUUCUCUGAUGUUAGCGGCGGACGGGUGAGUAACACGUGGAUAACCUACCUGUAAGACUGGGAUAACUUCGGGAAACCGGAGCUAAUACCGGAUAAUAUUUUGAACCGCAUGGUUCAAAAGUGAAAGACGGUCUUGCUGUCACUUAUAGAUGGAUCCGCGCUGCAUUAGCUAGUUGGUAAGGUAACGGCUUACCAAGGCAACGAUGCAUAGCCGACCUGAGAGGGUGAUCGGCCACACUGGAACUGAGACACGGUCCAGACUCCUACGGGAGGCAGCAGUAGGGAAUCUUCCGCAAUGGGCGAAAGCCUGACGGAGCAACGCCGCGUGAGUGAUGAAGGUCUUCGGAUCGUAAAACUCUGUUAUUAGGGAAGAACAUAUGUGUAAGUAACUGUGCACAUCUUGACGGUACCCAAUCAGAAAGCCACGGCUAACUACGUG
Molecule: ribosomal RNA, 497 nt
Filed under: uncultured bacterium
Lineage: Bacteria
Description: partial 16S ribosomal RNA
Rfam family: Bacterial small subunit ribosomal RNA
Source: RNAcentral